RNA transcript from Macaca mulatta (Rhesus monkey), 4449 nucleotides. It is a transcript of the gene named DDB1 and CUL4 associated factor 8, with no coding region annotated. Lineage: Eukaryota; Metazoa; Chordata; Mammalia; Primates; Cercopithecidae. The record is from RefSeq and is a predicted model, not a curated record.
AAUUUAGUUUAUUUCUAUCACAACUCUGGGAAGCCCCUAACUCGCAUUUGUUUUGAGUAUCACAAGAAAAGCAAGCCCAAAGAAACUACAAAAACAACUUUGCCUCUUCGGUAAUGCGCACGCGCCCCUCCCUCUGUUUUCCGUUGGUCUUAAGCCCCGCCCCUUGUGCGUCCUUCGAGGAGGGUUGCGAGCCGUGAGCUCGCGCGACCACUCUUCCCUCAGUCUUCUCGAGCACAUCGUCGCAAACGGGGCCGGAAAGCGUGGCAGCGCAGGCGCAAGCGCAGAGAGCGGAGGCGGUGGUGGUGGCGGCCGCUGGCCAGUGUAAGAUGGCGGCGGCGUUGGUGGUGGCAGUGGACGGGGCGGCUGGGCCUGGAACAGUCGGAGCAGCCGCUAGCAGAAGGAUGACCCAAGACGGGAAGCGGGCUGCUGAGCCUCGCCGAUUCCCGUGCUUGUAACUGCCCCAGCCGGACACCCCCCCCCCUUGACCUUACCCGUCCUUCAGUGAAUCGACAGACCUAUUUUCUCAGGAGCUCAACCUGGCCUUACUUCAGUGAUAAAAGGAGGAAAGGCUGGCUACAGCAAACAUCAUUCAAGAUGUCCAGCAAAGGGAGCAGCACAGAUGGCAGAACAGACUUAGCUAAUGGAAGCCUGUCUAGCAGUCCAGAAGAGAUGUCUGGAGCUGAAGAGGGGAGGGAGACAUCCUCAGGCAUUGAAGUGGAGGCCUCAGACCUGAGUUUGAGUUUGACUGGGGAUGAUGGUGGCCCCAACCGCACCAGCACAGAAAGUCGAGGCACAGACACAGAGAGCUCAGGUGAAGAUAAGGACUCUGACAGCAUGGAGGACACUGGUCAUUACUCCAUUAAUGAUGAAAAUAGAGUCCAUGACCGCUCAGAGGAAGAGGAAGAGGAGGAAGAAGAGGAGGAAGAAGAGCAGCCUCGGCGCCGUGUACAGCGCAAGCGGGCUAACCGUGACCAGGACUCAUCAGAUGAUGAGCGGGCCCUAGAGGACUGGGUGUCCUCAGAAACAUCAGCUCUACCCCGACCUCGCUGGCAAGCCCUCCCUGCCCUUCGGGAGCGGGAGCUGGGUUCAAGUGCCCGCUUUGUCUAUGAGGCCUGUGGGGCAAGAGUCUUUGUGCAGCGUUUCCGCCUACAGCAUGGGCUUGAGGGCCAUACUGGUUGUGUCAAUACCCUGCACUUUAACCAGCGCGGCACCUGGCUGGCCAGUGGCAGCGAUGACCUGAAGGUGGUGGUGUGGGAUUGGGUGCGGCGGCAGCCAGUACUGGACUUUGAGAGUGGCCACAAAAGUAAUGUGUUCCAGGCCAAGUUUCUUCCUAACAGUGGUGAUUCCACUCUGGCCAUGUGUGCCCGUGAUGGGCAGGUUCGGGUAGCAGAACUGUCUGCUACACAGUGUUGCAAGAAUACAAAACGUGUGGCCCAGCACAAAGGAGCGUCCCACAAGUUGGCUCUGGAACCAGACUCUCCCUGUACAUUCUUAUCUGCAGGUGAAGAUGCAGUUGUUUUCACCAUUGACCUGAGACAAGACCGCCCAGCUUCGAAACUGGUGGUGACAAAAGAGAAAGAGAAGAAAGUGGGACUGUAUACGAUCUUUGUGAAUCCUGCCAAUACCCACCAGUUUGCAGUGGGUGGACGAGAUCAGUUUGUAAGGAUUUAUGACCAGAGGAAAAUUGAUGAGAACGAGAACAAUGGAGUACUCAAGAAGUUCUGUCCUCAUCACCUGGUGAACAGUGAGUCCAAAGCAAACAUCACCUGUCUUGUGUACAGCCACGACGGCACAGAGCUCCUGGCCAGUUACAAUGAUGAAGACAUUUACCUCUUCAACUCCUCUCACAGUGAUGGGGCCCAGUAUGUUAAGAGAUACAAGGGCCACAGAAAUAAUGCCACAGUAAAAGGCGUCAAUUUCUAUGGCCCUAAGAGUGAGUUUGUGGUGAGCGGUAGUGACUGUGGGCACAUCUUCCUCUGGGAGAAAUCAUCCUGCCAGAUUAUUCAGUUCAUGGAGGGGGACAAGGGAGGCGUGGUGAGUAUGGUAUGCUGAGCUGGCUGGCUCCCUAAUCUCUCCAGUCAUUAAGGUAGGUUUUAGCAGGGACACUGAAUUCUGUGACUACAUAAUACCAUGUUUUAGAGGUCCAACCAGCCAUAAAAGGCUAGUUAGCCUGGGGGUGCUGAGUUUUUGAUGGAGUAUUUUCUUCCUGUUCCUAUCUUCUGUCCCUGUAAAGCACAGUUUAUUGAGACAAGAAAGGGAUCUUAGGGAAGAACCUCUGUCCUGUCCUGAGUGAUGUAACUUAUCUCUAGGCAUGCACCUUUUCCAAAUGAAAAAGUGUUAGUGUUCAGGGCACACCCUCCUACACAAGGCUAAAGAUUUCUCUAUGUCUCUUCCCUUUAAACUAAACUAAGUAGUGAUCUUGGCUGGAUCUUAGAUCAGCAGAUAAAAACUAUAAAGAGCAUUUUUUGGACAGUUGGGAAAAUUAGAAUAUGGUUUAUACAUUAGAUAACAUGGUAUUCAAUAUUACAUUUAUUUGAUUUGAUUACUUAUGUAGGAGAAUAUUCUUGUACUUAAGAUAUACAUGUUGAAGUAUUUAGGGGUGAAGUGUCAUGCUUACAUUCAAAUAGGUAACAAACACAUAUAAAUGUGUAUAUGUAAGGAGAAAGCAAAUGUAAUUUUUUUCUAGUAGUUGAGCAGUCUGCUUGCUGUAUAACCCAUGAUCAUAUCAUAGUCUGCCUGUCCUUUGAGUUCUGCAGACCUCUGUGGAGUUAGGUCAAAAAGGAAGAGUGAGAAUCGAGUUAGGGAAUGAAGAGCCAUCAGCUCUCUAGAUGUAUCUGGUUAACCUUAUCUUUUUUUUUUUUUUUUUUCAUUUUUGAGACCUAGAAUUAGGAAAGAGUUCAAUUGCUUUCUGUUACAAGGUUUUUGGACCACAGGAGAUGGAAAGACAGUUUGAAAGACUAAAUUAUACUGAUUGUCUAGAAUAGUCUGGUUACCCAAGACCUCUAAGGAAUGACUGAGACAGCUUAGUCUCUCUUCCUUUUUAUUCCUUCUUAGCUGUGGGGAACUUUACAGAGCCUAGCCAUCUCUUGAUGAAGUUUUUUUCAGAGAGUGGUUUUAGAAUUUAGAAUGGUUCCUUGCAAUCAGGAUCCCAUUCCUUAUGUUUUUCUUGCCCUGGUAUGAGGGUAUUUCAAAUUUUCUUCUGGUUUCCUCUAAAUUUUGGGGACCUGGGACCUGCAUAGAUCUAGGGUUUUUAUGGUUUGAAUACAAAUGGAGAGGAAUCUAGAAGUUCAAGAUGUGUCUCACUCUUCCCUGCUUCAUUUCCUACUCUUCCAUAGGUCCCCCUGUGUCAUCUGCAGUGAACAAACCCAAAACACUUGAGUCUUAAUGGGAAUUAUGCAAUAGGCAUUUAGAGAAAGGAAGUCAGAAGGGGCCAGUGAAUUUUUUCUUGACAUAAGCUAUUGCCUUGCAUUCUGUUCCAGAGAGAUGCAGGGCUGAAUGCCCUCUGCCAGGCCAGCAUUUGUCCAUUCUCCAAAAGCAUUCUGCAGGCCAGUUUGCUUUUAGCUCAGCCAAUGCCAGGGUUUGAUGAUUAACCCAUUUGCCCAGGUGAGGAAGGCAUUUACUUGGGAUGGGUGGGCCCUAGGCCUAAGUUUUAGUGGUCCUAAGAGUAAAUAAGUAGAAUAAGAGAUAUAGAGGCUACCCCUGAAGCAAAUUUCCUUACAUAUUCUUGUCUCUGUGUAAGCUGAAUGAUCGAUGUGGUCUUUUACUUGGCUCCCUCUGUUCUGUUUUUGGUCCUAAUUUUCCAGCAGUGGGGGUCACCAGGCACUAGUUUCAAUGUAGUAGACUCAGCAGUUCUAUAUCAUGCAAAUUGUAAAUGUAGAGUAGAAUGUAAUUGUAACGUAGAAUGUUAGAACCAAAGAUCUUAGAAGUUAUUUUCUAACUUGCCCAGAUCUCCUGACUCUGAUUUGAGGAUCAUUUCUUUGUUCCCAUUCAGCUUCACAGGGACAAGAAUGGGGGGUGGUAUCAGAGGACAGCCCCUUAGUCUCCCAAGAGCACUUUGAUGCUUGAUCCCAUUCUCUACAUUCCCCCAGCCCAGUCAUCUAAGGCCAGAGCUCUUUUCUCUGCUCAGGCAUUAUUGACAGGAUAAGUCCUGGCAUUCAGACAGGUCUGGUGAAGUGACCAGGUACUCUGGCCCAGAAGUUCUCUGUCGGCUCCCCCCGCAGGCUCCAAUUCAGGUAAACUGUCUUGAGCCCCACCCUCACCUGCCUGUGCUGGCAACCAGUGGCCUAGACCAUGAUGUGAAGAUCUGGGCACCCACAGCUGAAGCUUCCACUGAGCUGACAGGGUUAAAAGAUGUGAUUAAGAAGAACAAGCGGGAGCGGGAUGAAGAUAGCUUGCACCACCCUGACCUGUUUGAUAGUCACAUGCUGUGGUUCCUUAUGCAUCACUUGA